Molecule: ribosomal RNA, 492 nt
Filed under: uncultured bacterium
Lineage: Bacteria
Description: partial 16S ribosomal RNA
Rfam family: Bacterial small subunit ribosomal RNA
Source: RNAcentral
AGUGAACGCUGGCGGUAGGCCUAACACAUGCAAGUCGAACGGCAGCACAGUAAGAGCUUGCUCUUACGGGUGGCGAGUGGCGGACGGGUGAGGAAUACAUCGGAAUCUACUUUUUCGUGGGGGAUAACGUAGGGAAACUUACGCUAAUACAGCAUACGACCUACGGGUGAAAGCAGGGGAUCUUCGGACCUUGCGCGAUUGAAUGAGCCGAUGUCGGAUUAGCUAGUUGGCGGGGUAAAGGCCCACCAAGGCGAUGAUCCGUAGCUGGUCUGAGAGGAUGAUCAGCCACACUGGAACUGAGACACGGUCCAGACUCCUACGGGAGGCAGCAGUGGGGAAUAUUGGACAAUGGGCGCAAGCCUGAUCCAGCCAUACCGCGUGGGUGAAGAAGGCCUUCGGGUUGUAAAGCCCUUUUGUUGGGAAAGAAAAGCAGCAGGUUAAUACCCCGCUGUUCUGACGGUACCCAAAGAAUAAGCACCGGCUAACUUCGUG